Molecule: ribosomal RNA, 447 nt
Filed under: Kocuria rosea
Lineage: Bacteria; Bacillati; Actinomycetota; Actinomycetes; Micrococcales; Micrococcaceae
Description: bacterial SSU rRNA
Rfam family: Bacterial small subunit ribosomal RNA
Source: RNAcentral
CCACUUGCUGGCGNUCUCUCGGCGAACGNAUGAGUAUACNUGCGUACCUGCCCUUGACUCUGGGAUAAGCCUGGGAAACUGGGUCUAAUACUGGAUACUACCUCGCACCGCAUGGUGGGUGGUGGAAAGGGUUUUACUGGUUUUGGAUGGGCUCACGGCCUAUCAGCUUGUUGGUGGGGUAAUGGCUCACCAAGGCGACGACGGGUAGCCGGCCUGAGAGGGUGACCGGCCACACUGGGACUGAGACACGGCCCAGACUCCUACGGGAGGCAGCAGUGGGGAAUAUUGCACAAUGGGCGGAAGCCUGAUGCAGCGACGCCGCGUGAGGGAUGACGGCCUUCGGGUUGUAAACCUCUUUCAGUAGGGAAGAAGCGAGAGUGACGGUACCUGCAGAAGAAGCGCCGGCUAACUACGUGCCAGCAGCCGCGGUAAUACGUAGGGCGCAAG